GUGUUGUGAAAUGUUGGGUUAAGUCCCGCAACGAGCGCAACCCUUAUCCUUGUUUGCCAGCACUUUCGGGUGGGAACUCCAGGGAGACUGCCGGUGAUAAACCGGAGGAAGGUGGGGACGACGUCAAGUCAUCAUGGCCCUUACGAGUAGGGCUACACACGUGCUACAAUGGCGCAUACAGAGGGCGGCCAACUUGCGAAAGUGAGCGAAUCCCAAAAAGUGCGUCGUAGUCCGGAUUGGAGUCUGCAACUCGACUCCAUGAAGUCGGAAUCGCUAGUAAUCGUGGAUCAGAAUGCCACGGUGAAUACGUUCCCGGGCCUUGUACACACCGCCCGUCACACCAUGGGAGUGGGCUGCAAAAGAAGUGGGUAGUUUAACCUUCGGGAGGACGCUCACCACUUUGUGGUUCAUGACUGGGGUGAAGUCGUAACAAGGUAACCG
RNAcentral lists this ribosomal RNA (441 nucleotides) under uncultured bacterium. RNAcentral describes it as "bacterial SSU rRNA". It matches the Rfam family "Bacterial small subunit ribosomal RNA", at positions 1062 to 1502 of the family's 1533-position model. The record is from RNAcentral.